AGGGAAUAUUGCAAAAUGGGCGAAAGCCCGAUGCAGCAACGCCGCGUGGGCGAUGAAGGCCUUCGGGUCGUAAAGCCCUUUUUGAGGGGAUGAGGAAGGACAGUACCCUCAGAAUAAGCCUCGGCUAACUACGUGCCAGCAGCCGCGGUAAAACGUAGGAGGCGAGCGUUAUCCGGAUUUACUGGGCGUAAAGCGCGUGCAGGCGGAUUGGAGAGUUGGAUGUGAAAGCUCCCGGCUUAACUGGGAGAGGUCGUUCAAUACUUCCAGUCUUGAGUGCAGUAGAGGGAAGUGGAAUUCCGGGUGUAGUGGUGAAAUGCGUAGAUAUCCGGAGGAACACCAAUGGCGAAAGCGGCUUCCUGGACUGUAACUGACGCUCAGACGCGAAAGCUAGGGUAGCAAACGG
RNAcentral lists this ribosomal RNA (403 nucleotides) under uncultured bacterium. Its description in RNAcentral is "bacterial SSU rRNA". It matches the Rfam family "Bacterial small subunit ribosomal RNA", at positions 356 to 775 of the family's 1533-position model. The record is from RNAcentral.